Triticum dicoccoides is the source of this 911-nucleotide long non-coding RNA. RefSeq lists it as uncharacterized. Lineage: Eukaryota; Viridiplantae; Streptophyta; Magnoliopsida; Poales; Poaceae. The record is from RefSeq and is a predicted model, not a curated record. The transcript is spliced from 2 exons.
UGAAUGUCCAGUUGUCCACCCUCCUCCUUCCUCCACCACCGCCUUCUCUACCUUCACCUCCUCCUACAACCUGUGCUACAGCAGCAAGGUCCUACCGCCCCCCAGCCAUCACCGGCCACACUCUUCUCCGAUCUGAACCUGCCGCGCUCCGUGGAGGACCAGAAUCACCAUGACCCCCACCGGUGCUAGAUCCAGCUGCCUCCACCCUCAUCCUCCUGAUUUGAGAUCCGUGGAGGGGUUGAGAUCCUGGCUGCCACCCACCACUCCCUCUCAAAUCUCUAUAGGACGGUGGCAAGCCCGCUGGUCUACGGGGAGGGUCGGCCUUGACUUGCCUACGGGGAGGGUCGGCCUUGACUUGCAGUAGGAGGAGGAGCUCCCAGGCCGCCUUCACCCCCCUUGCCCCAUCGCCGCCACCACCAGGAGGCCGACCACCAUGGAGUUCUGUGUAAAUUUGGUUGAAAUUUACGUAGUUUGAGCUUCUGUAUUCCUCUGAUUUUUCUUAUGUUCGAAGAAGCGGCCAAGGCUGGACCCGGUGAUGGGGCGACCUGCCAGCGGUGGUAGUAGGGGCAGGCCGCGAGCGAGACCUGUGCCACGUCCGGGGCGCGGUGAGAAGCUCCGCCGGAAGACUCGACAGAUGGGGGUACGUGCUGAAAAGGAAAUACAUUCUCGAAAAAGUACAUGUGCCUCGAGGUAUACACGCGAUGGGAUAUAGGGUCAUAGCAUAGACAACCUCUGAUUAUCAAAAAAUAAAUAGACAACCUCUGAUGUUGGAAGGGUAGCCCAGAAAAAUGCAAGCGAGCGAACGGUGUGUGAGCUUGUGUGGUGUGCUCGAUAUAGUUGAUGUUUCCUCCCUUGGAUUAUUUGAUUGCUCAGACCGGACCGAGGACGACAAGCAAUCGGUUGUUUUUUCC